AUUGAACGCUAGCUGCAGGCCUAACACAUGCCAGUCGAACGAGUGCCGGACGGGUGAGUAAUGUCUGGGAAACUGCCUGAUGGAGGGGGAUAACUACUGGAAACGGUAACUAAUACAGCAUACCAUCGGAUGUGCCCAGAUGGGCUUGGCUAGUAGGUGGGGUAACGGCUCACGUAGGCGACGAUCACUAGCUGGUCUGAGAGGAUGACCAGCCACACUGGACGUGAGACACGGUCCAGACUCCUACGGUGGGCAGCAGUGGGGAAUAUUGCACAAGGGGCGCAAGCCGGAUGCAGCCAUGCCGCGUGUAUGAAGAAGUCCUUCGGGUUGUAAAGGACUUUCAGCGGGGAGGCGUUACCCGAAGAAGAAGCACCGGCUAACUCCGUGCCAGCAGCCGCGGUAAUUC
This 406-nucleotide ribosomal RNA is filed under the name uncultured bacterium. Its description in RNAcentral is "partial 16S ribosomal RNA". It matches the Rfam family "Bacterial small subunit ribosomal RNA", at positions 30 to 526 of the family's 1533-position model. The record is from RNAcentral.